RNAcentral lists this unclassified non-coding RNA (300 nucleotides) under uncultured fungus. RNAcentral describes it as "sequence contains 5.8S rRNA gene, ITS2". The stretch from base 1 to 86 matches the Rfam family "5.8S ribosomal RNA", at positions 67 to 154 of the family's 154-position model. Lineage: Eukaryota; Fungi. The record is from RNAcentral.
GUGUAUAAGAGACAGGUGAAUCAUCGAAUCUUUGAACGCACAUUGCGCUCUUUGGUAUUCCUUAGGGCAUGCCUGUUUAAGUGUUAUCUUACUACUUAAGCGUUGCUUGGUGUUAGGCGCCUGUCCCGCCACUUGCGCGCGGACUUGCCUUGAAGACAUUGGCGGCCUGUGUACUAGCCACGAGCGCAGCAGACUUGCGCUUCGUGCCUACCCCGCAGGCGUCUAGGAAGCGAACCCCUUAGUUUAACCUUAGAUUAGGUAGGAAUACCUGCUAAACUUAAGCAUAUCAAUAAGCGGAGG